This 249-nucleotide ribosomal RNA is filed under the name Triticum aestivum (bread wheat). RNAcentral describes it as "partial small subunit ribosomal RNA". Lineage: Eukaryota; Viridiplantae; Streptophyta; Magnoliopsida; Poales; Poaceae. The record is from RNAcentral.
AUGUCGGCGGCUUGGAGAAUUGCGGACGAACCACAAAGUUUCUUGUCACAGGUACUUAAAUCUAAAUAUUUUCCUGAGACUUCUAUUUGGAGAGCAAAAAGCAACAUUCCAAAAUCAGGUUUUUGGGGUUCAAUUCUUAAGGUCGACACAUUCUUCAAGCAAGUUCAAUCUAUUAAAUUCUUGAUGGCAAUUCCUCCAUUUGGAGCACUCCUUGGUUUCCUCACUGGCAAUCUAUAUAUGAGCACUUAA